Molecule: non-coding RNA, 175 nt
Filed under: Gammaproteobacteria bacterium
Lineage: Bacteria; Pseudomonadati; Pseudomonadota; Gammaproteobacteria
Description: 6S RNA
Rfam family: 6S / SsrS RNA
About the family: E. coli 6S RNA was the first non coding RNA to be sequenced, but its function was unknown until recently. It consists of 184 nucleotides that fold into an extended hairpin structure with a large single-stranded internal bulge. The 6S RNA specifically associates with RNA polymerase holoenzyme containing the sigma70 specificity factor.
Source: RNAcentral
CGCUUCCUGGUCUAUUCGAUAGCUGGUGGGACCCUCGAGCCGAUAUUGAAUAAUUAGGAGAUUUUGGAAAGUCUUGUUGAGCACACCUUUCUUAGGGAGCCUGAUAGGCCGACGAAAUCACCGCCCUGAAUCUCACGGUUCAGGGCCGCAUCGGCAACGGUAUUCUGGGAAGCAC